UGGUGAGUUGCAUGAAAAGGUAUGUAUAUAUGGAGCAAACCACAAGGUUUCAUACAGCAGGCUCCCAGGACUUGGUUCUUAACUCUUUCUUCUACUUUACAUAUUUUUUGUUUUAAGAAUACUAAAUCAGAUCCAUUUCUAUUCAUACGAAGAACAACUGACUCAAUCAUUUUUCUAUUAGCCUAUGCGGAUUACAUUUUGAUUACAGGAAAAUCCUGUUCCAACACCAAUGGUUUCUUCUACAAAACUACAUUAUAAAUGAUGUUGAGCCAUUUGAUGACCCUAAAUUCUAUAGGUCCAUUGCAGGGGCAUUGCAAUAUCUUACACUAACUCGACCUGAUAUUACAUAUUCAAUGCACAAAGUUUGUCAAUAUAUGAACUGUCCCACUGUCAACCAUUGGAGAGCAAUCAAGAAAAUCUUGAGAUAUGUAAAAGCUACCAUGUAUCAAGGCUUGGUUUUUUUUCAGAAGAUUUUAGGUUGUUGGCAUUUGCAAAUGCUGAUUAGGAGCAGACGUUGAUGACAUACAGAAAAUCAAUUACAGGAUAUUGUGUGUAUCUUGGAUCAAAUUUGGGAGCAUGGAAAAGUAAUAAGAAAUAGGCAGGGAGUAGGUGGAGAACUGAGGCAAAGUAUAGAACACUUGCAACAGCUCAAGCAAAGUUGGUAUGGAUCCAAAAUCUUCUCCCUCUACGCACUCCACCAACUAUCUAUUGCGACAACCAAGCAGAUUGCUUACUUGCAGAAAAUCCAGUUCUUCGCAGUAGGUCAGCACAUUUCGAGCUGGAUUUGCAUUUCAUAAGGAAGCAUGUUAGCAAGAAGAAGUUAUAGAGAAAAGAGAGAUAGCACAUAGCAGAACAACAGUGACUUGUAUCUCAAGGAAGAAGAUAGUCUGUUGUAUACCAUUCAAGGUUAGAAUGUAGUUAGUGAGUCGUAAUCUGUUAGCCAGUGAAGGUAGUAGGUAGUUAGAGUUGUGACUAUAAAUAGGAGAAUGUAUGUGAUAAUUUGUAAUCAAUACACUUGUGUUCUCAUUCUUUCUCAUCUCUCUUGGUGUUCAAGUUCAUUAUCUGCUUCUUGUGUUCUUCAUUCAAGAACCAUAUUCAUCAAA
This is a non-coding RNA of Arachis ipaensis, 1103 nucleotides long. NCBI's taxonomy places the organism in Eukaryota, Viridiplantae, Streptophyta, Magnoliopsida, Fabales, Fabaceae. The record is from RefSeq and is a predicted model, not a curated record.